AGUGAACGCUGGCGGUAGGCCUAACACAUGCAAGUCGAACGGCAGCACAGUAAGAGCUUGCUCUUACGGGUGGCGAGUGGCGGACGGGUGAGGAAUACAUCGGAAUCUACUUUUUCGUGGGGGAUAACGUAGGGAAACUUACGCUAAUACCGCAUACGACCUACGGGUGAAAGCAGGGGAUCUUCGGACCUUGCGCGAUUGAAUGAGCCGAUGUCGGAUUAGCUAGUUGGCGGGGUAAAGGCCCACCAAGGCGACGAUCCGUAGCUGGUCUGAGAGGAUGAUCAGCCACACUGGAACUGAGACACGGUCCAGACUCCUACGGGAGGCCGCAGUGGGGACUAUUGGACAAUGGGCGCAAGCCUGAUCCAGCCAUACCGCGUGGGUGAAGAAGGCCUUCGGGUUGUAAAGCCCUUUUGUUGGGAAAGAAAAGCAGCAGGUUAAUACCCCGCUGUUCUGACGGUACCCAAAGAAUAAGCACCGGCUAACCUCGUG
This 492-nucleotide ribosomal RNA is filed under the name uncultured bacterium. RNAcentral describes it as "partial 16S ribosomal RNA". It matches the Rfam family "Bacterial small subunit ribosomal RNA", at positions 29 to 507 of the family's 1533-position model. The record is from RNAcentral.